This 492-nucleotide ribosomal RNA is filed under the name uncultured bacterium. Its description in RNAcentral is "partial 16S ribosomal RNA". It matches the Rfam family "Bacterial small subunit ribosomal RNA", at positions 29 to 507 of the family's 1533-position model. The record is from RNAcentral.
AGUGAACGCUGGCGGUAGGCCUAACACAUGCAAGUCGAACGGCAGCACAGUAAGAGCUUGCUCUUACGGGUGGCGAGUGGCGGACGGGUGAGGAAUACAUCGGAAUCUACUUUUUCGUGGGGGAUAACGUAGGGAAACUUACGCUAAUACCGCAUACGACCUACGGGUGAAAGCAGGGGAUCUUCGGACCUUGCGCGAUUGAAUGAGCCGAUGUCGGAUUAGCUAGUUGGCGGGGUAAAGGCCCACCAAGGCGACGAUCCGUAGCUGGUCUGAGAGGAUGAUCAGCCACACUGGAACUGAGACACGGUCCAGACUCCUAAGGGAGGCAGCAGUGGGGAAUAUUGGGCAAUGGGCGCAAGCCUGAUCCAGCCAUACCGCGUGGGUGAAGAAGGCCUUCGGGUUGUAAAGCCCUUUUGUUGGGAAAGAAAAGCAGCAGGUUAAUACCCCGCUGUUCUGACGGUACCCAAAGAAUAAGCACCGGCUAACUUCGUG